Molecule: ribosomal RNA, 1196 nt
Filed under: Clostridium perfringens
Lineage: Bacteria; Bacillati; Bacillota; Clostridia; Eubacteriales; Clostridiaceae
Description: partial 23S ribosomal RNA
Rfam family: Bacterial large subunit ribosomal RNA
Source: RNAcentral
GGACAUAACAUAAAAGUGGAGGCUAUUGUAACUGAAGAGAACUGGAAAGUUCCACCGUAGAAGGUAAUAGUCCUGUAAGUGAAACGAGAAGACCACGAGUUAUGAUCCAGAGUACCACGAGACACGUGAAACCUUGUGGGAAGCAGGGAGGACCACCUCCCAAGGCUAAAUACUACCUGAUGACCGAUAGUGAAGCAGUACCGUGAGGGAAAGGUGAAAAGAACCCCGGGAGGGGAGUGAAAUAGAACCUGAAACCGUGUGCCUACAACCGCUCAGAGCCCCUUAUGAGGGUGAUGAGGUGCUUUUUGUAGAACGAGCCAACGAGUUACGGUAUGUAGCAAGGUUAAGUACUUAAGGUACGGAGCCGAAGGGAAACCGAGUCUGAAUAGGGCGACUAGUUGCAUGCCGUAGACCCGAAACCGGGUGACCUAUCCAUGGCCAGGUUGAAGCGAGGGUAAAACCUCGUGGAGGACCGAACCACGUUGCUGUUGAAAAAGCAUGGGAUGAGCUGUGGAUAGCGGAGAAAUUCCAAUCGAACCCGGAGAUAGCUGGUUCUCUCCGAAAUAGCUUUAGGGCUAGCGUCGAGUAUGAGUAGUGGAGGUAGAGCACUGAAUGGGCUAGGGGGCAUAGCGCUUACCGAACCUUAUCAAACUCCGAAUGCCACAUACUUUGAGCUCGGCAGUCAGACUACGAAUGAUAAGAUCCGUGGUCAAAAGGGAAACAGCCCAGAUCGUCAGCUAAGGUCCCAAAGUGUAAGUUAAGUGGGAAAGGAUGUGAGAUUUCUAAGACAACUAGGAUGUUGGCUUAGAAGCAGCCAUUCAUUAAAAGAGUGCGUAAUAGCUCACUAGUCGAGAGAUCUUGCGCCGAAAAUGUAACGGGGCUAAACUUACCACCGAAGCUACGGGCUUGAACUUAGUUCAAGCGGUAGGAGAGCGUCGUAACCGGGCUGAAGUCGUACCGUAAGGAGCGGUGGACUGGUUACGAGUGAGAAUGUUGGCAUCAGUAGCGAGAUGUGGGUGAGAAUCCCACAGGCCGAAAACCUAAGGUUUCCUCAGGAAGGUUCGUCCGCUGAGGGUUAGUCGGGACCUAAGCCGAGGCCGAAAGGCGUAGGUGAUGGACAACUGGUUGAUAUUCCAGUACCACUACCAUCGUUAUUAUCGAUGGCGUGACGCAGGAGGAUAGUGUGUGCUAGCUAU